AGUUUUUUUAUCCUGACCUUUCAAUUUCCUUUCCCCAAUUACGGCUGUUUCUUGGGGGAAGACAUGAUUGCUCUUAUACUCAUUUUCGUGUGAAGUGUGUCAAGUCUGUGUGCCCUCUUCCCAACCUGAGGGGUCAGCUCCUUGAGAACGAGGUGCCUGCCGCCUGAUUCCUGGUUCCUCCCCUGGACCACAGCAGACGCCGGAGUUCGUGUCUGCUAAUGGCUCAUUUCAUUCCAGUGCCGCAGCCAGGCUAGCGAGUUCGAAGCCGUGAGCACAAUUUGCAAUUGUGUCCUGUGAGACGGGAACACGUGAUGCCAGUUGGGCAGGGACCACAAAUGACUCAGAUUCUGAAGCAGUUUGUUCUCCUGGUGGCGAUUCCUAAAGUCUCCAGAAUGACAGCUCUCUGCGGACCGGAGCUCCCUCCCUCCUGGUCGCCGCGGCAUCCCUGUGGCCUGGCAAGGCCUGAAGGACCUGACGAGUCCACAGGGACGAGAGGAUCCAGGGCGUCCCAGAGAGGGAAGCCCCUUGGACAAGGACAGUCCUCACUCUGGAGCCGGGACACGACUCCCUCGUGGAAAGUUCACAAGGGACCAGCCCCAUGGGAGCACUGUUCCGGAAGCACUGUUCUGGGAGCACUUCUCUGGGAGCACUGUUCUGGGAGCACUCUUCUGACCACAACAGGUGGCGCAGAGGGAGUCUGACAGGAGCUUCAUGACUCGAGAAUCCUGGCAGGUAUACAGGUGUCCCCCAAGUGACAGGCGACGCCUGGAGACCUGACGGAGUGGCCCAGGCCCCACAGGGAGAUGCCCUUCGAGCUAGGUCUUCCAAGGAGCCCCAGGCCAAGCUGAAAUCCGUCACGCCUGAGCAAACGUGUCCUUCUUGGGAAGUACCCGUGCUGUUUAAGUGCCUUCUGUAUGCAAAGUUUGUCCUUUUUAGCUGUUUUGCUAAAUGUUCAUAAUGGGUAACUUCGAAAAUUGCUUCCACAUGCUUCCUUGCCUUCUUGGGGAAAAGAAAGGGCACAGAAUUUUCCCUAGCACCCCGGGGACCAUGGGAUCUGCGUGCUGCUGUGUGGCCUGACCCCAGGGCUGCAAGCAGCACCGCCAGGCUGUCGGCGCACACUGCGGAGCCUGGACCGCUAGGCUGUUUGGGUUCCUUACUCUAGUUCUGUUCCGGUUGUCCAGUCAUCCGGGCUGGCCCCUCUUCCUGUCCUCGUCGGCAUGUCUGCCCUGGCCUUCUGUGGCGGCUUCAUCUGCUGAGGGACAAGGCGGGACCAGAGCACCCAGCUCAUUCCAGUUCUGUCCACUUACCCCUCCGGCAGUGGCCCGUGUGAGAUAGGAGUGCCGACUUCUGGUUUUUAAGAUUUUUAUUAUUUUUGGUUCACUUGGGUGGCUCAGUCGGUUAAGCAUCUGCCUUUGGUUCAGGUCAUGAUCCCAGGGUCCCAGGACUGAGCCCUGUGUCCAGCUCCCUGCUCAGCGGGGAGCCUGCUUCUCCCUCUCCUGUUUCCCCCCCCACCCGCUUGUGCGCUCUCUCUCACUCCCCCCCAAAUAAAUAAAUAAAAUCUUUAAAAAAAAAAAAAAAAGAUUACGGGGCGCCUGGGUGGCUCAGUAGGUUAAAGCCUCUGCCUUCGGCUCGGGUUGUGAUCCCAGGGUCCUGGGAUCGAGCCCGGAAUGAGGCUCUCUGCUCAGCAGGGAGCCUGCUUCCUCCUCCCUCUCUCUCU
Molecule: long non-coding RNA, 1717 nt
Organism: Mustela lutreola (European mink)
Lineage: Eukaryota; Metazoa; Chordata; Mammalia; Carnivora; Mustelidae
Exons: 3
Source: RefSeq, a predicted model, not a curated record